GCCGGGUUAGCUCAGUUGGUAGAGCAACUGAUUUGUAAUCAGUAGGUCGUCGGUUCGACUCCGUCCCCCGGCUCCA
Molecule: transfer RNA, 76 nt
Filed under: Ruficoccus sp. ZRK36
Lineage: Bacteria; Pseudomonadati; Verrucomicrobiota; Opitutia; Puniceicoccales; Cerasicoccaceae
Description: tRNA-Thr
Rfam family: tRNA
About the family: Transfer RNA (tRNA) molecules are approximately 80 nucleotides in length. Their secondary structure includes four short double-helical elements and three loops (D, anti-codon, and T loops).
Source: RNAcentral